UUGUCUGAACCGCAUGGUUCAGACAUAAAAGGUGGCUUCGGCUACCACUUACAGAUGGACCCGCGGCGCAUUAGCUAGUUGGUGAGGUAACGGCUCACCAAGGCGACGAUGCGUAGCCGACCUGAGAGGGUGAUCGGCCACACUGGGACUGAGACACGGCCCAGACUCCUACGGGAGGCAGCAGUAGGGAAUCUUCCGCAAUGGACGAAAGUCUGACGGAGCAACGCCGCGUGAGUGAUGAAGGUUUUCGGAUCGUAAAGCUCUGUUGUUAGGGAAGAACAAGUGCCGUUCAAAUAGGGCGGCACCUUGACGGUACCUAACCAGAAAGCCACGGCUAACUACGUGCCAGCAGCCGCGGUAAUACGUAGGUGGCAAGCGUUGUCCGGAAUUAUUGGGCGUAAAGGGCUCGCAGGCGGUUUCUUAAGUCUGAUGUGAAAGCCCCCGGCUCAACCGGGGAGGGUCAUUGGAAACUGGGGAACUUGAGUGCAGAAGAGGAGAGUGGAAUUCCACGUGUAGCGGUGAAAUGCGUAGAGAUGUGGAGGAACACCAGUGGCGAACGCGACUCUCUGGUCUGUAACUGACGCU
Molecule: ribosomal RNA, 585 nt
Filed under: Bacillus velezensis
Lineage: Bacteria; Bacillati; Bacillota; Bacilli; Caryophanales; Bacillaceae
Description: bacterial SSU rRNA
Rfam family: Bacterial small subunit ribosomal RNA
Source: RNAcentral